This 1453-nucleotide long non-coding RNA is filed under the name Macaca fascicularis (crab-eating macaque). RNAcentral describes it as "lncRNA (ENSMFAG00000048973.1)". Lineage: Eukaryota; Metazoa; Chordata; Mammalia; Primates; Cercopithecidae. The record is from RNAcentral.
UCUCACCAGCCUGUGGGGCUGUCUAAAUUUCUACUCAGUUUCUUAUUUAUCAAGUGCCUCUCUUUUGUUCCAUGUUUUAGCCUCUCAACUCUGAGUGACAUUAGUUGGCAAAUAAUUUUGAAAAGAAAGGGAUAAAGAAUGUUGGGUUCUUUUCAGUGUACUUCCUUUUCAUCAUAUUCUGGCUCUCUUGGUAGUUCUCUGAUGCUGUAGGAGAGAUUAUACCUGCCACCCACCCCCUACCCCGCCACCCCCAGUUUUAUACUUUUUUUCGGUAGCAGAAUUGUUCCACAAUACACUAUUUUACCAUUAUGGGAAACAGGAUCUCUCCCAACCCUCCACCAUGCUCCCCAACACCCACUGUACUUUUUUUUGUAUAGGAAAGAACACCCAUAAAAUUUUAGCACUAGCCUCAUUUGUCUUCCUUUUGACCAACAAGCUUGAACUCUAACCCUGAGAACUGCUAACAGUGCAAAUCAGAAAUGUAAACAUUAUCUUUUGUGCACUUUGCUUUGAGUGUUGACUUGUACUUUUGGAUACCAAAAAUAUAUUGUUAUAAACAGACUACUUAAUAAUGAAGGAUCUUAUAAUAAUUACAUACUUUCAGAUGUUAUACAUUAAACUUGAGAUCUAACCAUAAUACAGAUGCUAGUGUGAUUUUUCUCAAAACAUAGGCACAUUUUGUAUAAUAAAAACUAGGAGAGUAGGGGAAGAGCACAAAUAUUAUGCUGUAUAUUUCAGGAAGUACUUCAGUUUUGGGAUAAGAUGGAUAUGUGCUCAAGUCCUGGUUUGACCACUUGCUAUGUGACAAGAAUGUAGUAUCUUUCCCCCUCAAUUUUCUUUUCUGUUAAAUCAUAAUAUUUAUAUAUUAUGAUGAUUAUGUAUGUUUUAAUGAAAUGUGUAUAUAAAAUAUUUAACUCGAAGUCAACUUUACCCAAAGUGCUUAGUCAAUAUUAGCCACCCAUUCAUAUCCUUUAUGAAUAAUUUCCUCAGUGAAGUAAAAGUUUCUAAAAAUAAAUUCAAAUUAUGCUGGAAUGUUUGGCUCUAAAAUUAUAAAGGAAUAGAUUCAGUUGAAUAGCUACAUAGUUUUAAAGGUGGUAAUUUUUUUACAAAUAAAACAUGAUGAAUUUCUAUAGAGGAAUAAUAUGAAGUUCAAAAGAAUUCCUCUAUAGAAAGAAAAAUAUUAAAUAACUAAAGUUCUUUUUGAAGAGCAUCUAAAAAUUAAGAGUAAUUGAAAGUAAAUAUUUAAAUUGUUAUGAGACUAAAAUAUUUUCCAUUAAGUAAUAUUAAACCUUGCCAAUUUUGACAAGACUGAUUCUAAUAUUUUUUUCAGAGAAUCAGGGGGGUUUAGAACCGUAAGAGAUCUUAUUUAAAAUCUUAGAAUUCUUACAUCUGGAAUACUUGAGUAACAUUCCAAGGUUACGUACCAAAAAAAAAAAAAAAAAAAAAAAAAAAA